GGCUGUAUGGAAGGAGUGGGUUUCGUGGUGUGUAGAGUUCGGCGUUGACGCACCCUACGAGAUUGGCGGGUCCAGUUCUCCUCGAACGAGAUCUGUACUUCCACAGGCUGAGGCUAACUUUCGAGACGCUUCGGAAGCUGCGAGGGGGGCCAAGAGUAUGCGCGAAAACGAGUGACGGCCCUCGUUUUCGCGCAUUCUCUUGGGAAUAAUGUGUUCAGAUAUUUUCUGGAAUGGUUGAAACAAGAAGUACCGCCCAAACUGUACACCACUUGGAUCGACGAUCACAUUUUCACGUAUCAUGCUCUAGGUGCUCCUUUUCUAGGAGCUCCAGAUGCUCUGAAAGGCGUUC
Molecule: long non-coding RNA, 349 nt
Organism: Selaginella moellendorffii
Lineage: Eukaryota; Viridiplantae; Streptophyta; Lycopodiopsida; Selaginellales; Selaginellaceae
Exons: 3
Source: RefSeq, a predicted model, not a curated record